AUUGAACGCUGGCGGCAUGCCUAACACAUGCAAGUCGAGCGGACGAACGGAGCUUGCUCCUCUCUUCUGCUGCCGACGGGCGAGUAAUUCCCACGUAUCUGACCUGUAUAUGGGGCUGACGUAACGUAAGGAGAGCUGAUAUCACAUCCGUCCAGAUUUUGAAAGUCGUGGUUCAACGGACCACAACCUUCUAGCUGUGACUAGGACGGAUUAGCUAGUUGGUUUGGUAAAGGCCUACCAAGGCGACGAUCCGUAACUGGUCUGAGAGGGUGAUCAGUCACACUGGAACUGAGACACGGUCCAGACUCCUACGGGAGGCAGCAGUGGGGAAUAUUGGGCAAUGGGCGAAAGCCUGAUCCAGCCAUGCCGCGUGUGUGAAGAAGGUCUUCGGAUUGUAAAGCACUGUAAGUUGGGAGGAAGGGCAGUAAGUUAAUACCUUGCUGUUUUGACGGUACCAACAGAAUAAGCACCGGCUAACUUCGUG
RNAcentral lists this ribosomal RNA (484 nucleotides) under uncultured bacterium. RNAcentral describes it as "partial 16S ribosomal RNA". It matches the Rfam family "Bacterial small subunit ribosomal RNA", at positions 30 to 507 of the family's 1533-position model. The record is from RNAcentral.